UUGAACGCUGGCGGCAUGCUUUACACCUGCAAGUCGAACGGCAGCGCGGGCUUCGGCCUGGCGGCGAGUGGCGAACGGGUGAGUAAUGCAUCGGAACGUGCCCAGUAGUGGGGGAUAGCCCGGCGAAAGCCGGAUUAAUACCGCAUACGACCUGAGGGUGAAAGCGGGGGACCGAAAGGCCUCGCGCUAUUGGAGCGGCCGAUGUCGGAUUAGCUAGUUGGUGGGGUAAAGGCUUACCAAGGCGACGAUCCGUAGCUGGUCUGAGAGGACGACCAGCCACACUGGGACUGGGACACGGCCCAGACUCCUACGGGAGGCAGCAGUGGGGAAUUUUGGACAAUGGGGGCAACCCUGAUCCAGCCAUGCCGCGUGCGGGAAGAAGGCCUUCGGGUUGUAAACCGCUUUUGUUCGGGAAGAAAUCCUCUGGGCUAAUACCCCGGGGGGAUGACGGUACCGGAAGAAUAAGCACCGGCUAACUACGUG
Molecule: ribosomal RNA, 483 nt
Filed under: uncultured bacterium
Lineage: Bacteria
Description: partial 16S ribosomal RNA
Rfam family: Bacterial small subunit ribosomal RNA
Source: RNAcentral